UAGCUCAGUUGGUAGAGCGUGGUGUUUGCAACGCCAGGGUUGUGGGUUCGAUUUCCAC
Molecule: transfer RNA, 58 nt
Filed under: Salmo salar (Atlantic salmon)
Lineage: Eukaryota; Metazoa; Chordata; Actinopteri; Salmoniformes; Salmonidae
Rfam family: tRNA
About the family: Transfer RNA (tRNA) molecules are approximately 80 nucleotides in length. Their secondary structure includes four short double-helical elements and three loops (D, anti-codon, and T loops).
Source: Rfam by way of RNAcentral